Molecule: long non-coding RNA, 1734 nt
Organism: Bos taurus (domestic cattle)
Lineage: Eukaryota; Metazoa; Chordata; Mammalia; Artiodactyla; Bovidae
Source: Ensembl
CAGAAGUCAGGCUGUGUUGGCAAUUUGGAGGAAGGCCAGAUUACUCUGGAAAGACUUUCUGGAAAGAAGGACUGAAUGUUCAAAACAGAUUAGCACCCUGACAGACUGAGAAUGAGUUUGAAGAUCUCUGUGGCCAGAGACUAUAAGGAUUAUAUUAUCCCUUGCUUUUCUCUGUAAAGCAAGAGCCCAGAUGCGCUGAGUUCCAGGGGUGAGCUGGCCAGGCACAUGGCCCAGCCUCAACUCUAUUUUUACUUCACAGAAAGAGGUGUCUGAGAGAUGACUGUAUACUGCCCUAAGAACAGAACAUGCAAUAUUGGUGGGUGUUUUACCACUGUACCGCCUGGAAGACCCGUAGUAGCUUCGGUGCUUUUCCUCAGAUGUUUCUUUCAAGGAUCCCUGAAUAUAAAAGGUCCAUAAAUUUGAGGUGAGACCAUGAAGACAUCAGUAAGAAGACAUGAGAUGAUAUCCUUUCAACAGUCACUUUGAAGAAUUUCAGUUCAUAUAAACAUUUUGCACUGCAAGAAUAACCAUGAAAAUAGAAAUUUCUACAAAAGAUUCUCUGUAAUGUCAGUUUUGGAUUGCCUUUGAGAGUAGGCUCCAUCCAGGAAUGAUUAGAUGUUGCUAAUCUGCCAUGUUUCUAAAAGUUUUCUUAAAUCCGUAUCACGAUGAUAAGAACAUGCUGUGGAAGCCAACCAGGCUCAUGGGACUGGUGUCAGAGAAUAAAGCUUUGCCUUUACAGUCUUUUGAUCAAAUAUACUUUGUGAAAACUAACUGCUUACCAGCAGUUUAGUAAUUAAGGUCUGCACAAAAGCAGAGCAGAACACAUUUAGUUUCUGUGACUAAAGACACAUACUAAAUAUUUUUUAAUUAAUUAAUUUAUUUUAAUUGGAAGCUAAUUACUUUACAAUAUUGUAGUGGUUUUUGCCAUACAUUGACAUGAAUCAGCCAUGGGUGUACAUAUGUUCCCCAUCCUGAACCCCCUUCCCACCUCCCUCCCCAUCCCAUCCCUCUGGAUCAUCCCAGUGCACCAGCCCUGAGCACCCUGUCUCAUACAUUGAAUCUGGACUGAUGAUCUAUUUCUCAUAUGAUAAUAUACAUGUUUCAAUGCUAUUCUCUCAAAUCAUCCCAUCCUCGCCUUCUCCCACAGAGUCCAAAAGACUGUUCUUUACAUCUGUGUCUCUUUUGCUGUCUCGCAUAUAGGGUCAUUGUUAUCAUCUUUCUAAAUUCCAUAUAUAUGCGUUAGUAUACUGUAUUGGUGUUUUUCUUUCUGACUUACUUCACUCUGUAUAAUAGGCUCUAGUUUCAUCCACCUCAUUAGAACUGAUUCAAAUGCAUUCUUUUUAAUGGCUGAGUAAUAUUCCAUUGUGUAUAUGUACCACAGCUUUCUUAUCCAUUUGUCUGCUGAUGGACAUCUAGAUUGCUUCCAUGUCCUGGCUAUUGUAAACAGUGCUGCAAUGAGGGAUACACGUGUCUCUUUCAAUUCUGGUUUACUCGGGACACAUACUAAAUAUUAAAGAUGCAAAUUAGAUAGUAAAGGUAGAUUAACACAGAUUUGUAAAAUAUAAAUAAACUCAAUUCUGUCUUAGAAAUAAUGCUGAAAUAGUUUACCUUUCAAAGCAAGUAGUUUUAGAUUUGGCUUCUCAAAUGUAUGUUGAGAAGUUAAAGAGAAAUAUGUAGAUCUUAUGACAAAAAGAAAACAAACACAUUAAAUCAUUGUCAUCAUCAUCAUUAUCA